GACGAACGCUGGCGGCGUGCUUAACACAUGCAAGUCGAACGGAAAGGCCCUGCUUUUGUGGGGUGCUCGAGUGGCGAAAGGGUGAGUAACACGUGAGUAACCUGCCCUUGACUUUGGGAUAACUUCAGGAAACUGGGGCUAAUACCGGAUAGGAGCUCCUGCUGCAUGGUGGGGGUUGGAAAGUUUCGGCGGUUGGGGAUGGACUCGCGGCUUAUCAGCUUGUUGGUGGGGUAGUGGCUUACCAAGGCUUUGACGGGUAGCCGGCCUGAGAGGGUGACCGGCCACAUUGGGACUGAGAUACGGCCCAGACUCCUACGGGAGGCAGAAGUGGGGAAUAUUGCACAAUGGGCGGAAGCCUGAUGCAGCAACGCCGCGUGCGGGAUGACGGCCUUCGGGUUGUAAACCGCUUUCGCCUGUGACGAAGCGUGAGUGACGGUAAUGGGUAAAGAAGCACCGGCUAACUACGUG
Molecule: ribosomal RNA, 468 nt
Filed under: uncultured bacterium
Lineage: Bacteria
Description: partial 16S ribosomal RNA
Rfam family: Bacterial small subunit ribosomal RNA
Source: RNAcentral